Molecule: ribosomal RNA, 484 nt
Filed under: uncultured bacterium
Lineage: Bacteria
Description: partial 16S ribosomal RNA
Rfam family: Bacterial small subunit ribosomal RNA
Source: RNAcentral
AUUGAACGCUGGCGGCAGGCCUAACACAUGCAAGUCGAGCGGAUGAAGGGAGCUUGCUCCUGGAUUCAGCGGCGGACGGGUGAGUAAUUCCUAGGAAUCUGCCUGGUAGUGGGGGAUAACGUCCGGAAACGGGCGCUAAUACCGCAUACGUCCUGAGGGAGAAAGUGGGGGAUCUUCGGACCUCACGCUAUCAGAUGAGCCUAGGUCGGAUUAGCUAGUUGGUGGGGUAAAGGCCUACCAAGGCGACGAUCCGUAACUGGUCUGAGAGGAUGAUCAGUCACACUGGAGCUGAGACACGGUCCAGACUCCUGCGGGAGGCAGCAGUGGGGAAUAUUAGACAAUGGGCGAAAGCCUGAUCCAGCCAUGCCGCGUGUGUGAAGAAGGUCUUCGGAUUGUAAAGCACGUUAAGUUGGGAGGAAGGGCAGUAAGUUAAUACCUUGCUGUUUUGACGUUACCAACAGAAUAAGCACCGGCUAACUUCGUG